GCGCCAGUAGCUCAGCUGGAUAGAGCGUCGGCCUCCGGAGCCGAAGGCCACAGGUUCGAAUCCUGUCUGGCGUA
This 74-nucleotide transfer RNA is filed under the name Chitinivibrionales bacterium. RNAcentral describes it as "tRNA-Arg". It matches the Rfam family "tRNA". From Rfam's summary of the family: Transfer RNA (tRNA) molecules are approximately 80 nucleotides in length. Their secondary structure includes four short double-helical elements and three loops (D, anti-codon, and T loops). Further hydrogen bonds mediate the characteristic L-shaped molecular structure. tRNAs have two regions of fundamental functional importance: the anti-codon, which is responsible for specific mRNA codon recognition, and the 3' end, to which the tRNAs corresponding amino acid is attached (by aminoacyl-tRNA synthetases). tRNAs cope with the degeneracy of the genetic code in two manners: having more than one tRNA (with a specific anti-codon) for a particular amino acid; and 'wobble' base-pairing, i.e. permitting non-standard base-pairing at the 3rd anti-codon position. The record is from RNAcentral. RNAcentral also lists the same sequence under 2 other names. Lineage: Bacteria; Pseudomonadati; Fibrobacterota; Chitinivibrionia; Chitinivibrionales.